UUAAUGCAUAAGCAUAUAUAGGGUGGAACAUUUCAGCAUUAGUGGAAUUUUCAUAUUCUUUCUCUUUACUAAGGAGAGACAGUAGAUAUCAGAGACUUGGACAACGUACUAGGAAACAUGGGGAUGAACUUACCAAAGAAGAACUUGGAGAGCUGACAAGAAACCUUCCAGUUGAUGCUAAAGGGGAGACUGAUUUGAAAUCAUUGAUGGAUACAGUGCAAGUUAUUACAGGUUAGUAAGAAGUUAAUAUGAAUUUAAGAUCCUAAUAUUUUAAGCCAUAUUUUCUAUG
Molecule: long non-coding RNA, 289 nt
Filed under: Macaca mulatta (Rhesus monkey)
Lineage: Eukaryota; Metazoa; Chordata; Mammalia; Primates; Cercopithecidae
Description: lncRNA (ENSMMUG00000063194.1)
Source: RNAcentral